Molecule: ribosomal RNA, 441 nt
Filed under: uncultured bacterium
Lineage: Bacteria
Description: partial 16S ribosomal RNA
Rfam family: Bacterial small subunit ribosomal RNA
Source: RNAcentral
CCUACGGGAGGCUGCAGUGGGGAAUAUUGCACAAUGGGGGAAACCCUGAUGCAGCAACGUCGCGUGAGUGAUGAAGUACCUCGGUAUGUUAAGCUCUAUUAGCAGGGAAGUAGAAAGACGGUACCUGACUAAGAAGCCUCGGCUAACUACGUGCCAGCAGCCGCGGUAAUACGUAGGGGGCAAGCGUUAUCCGGAUUUACUGGGUGUAAAGGGAGCGUAGACGGCUGGGCAAGUCUGAGGUGAAAGUUCGUGGCUCAACCGCGGAACUGCAUUGGAAACUGUAUAGCUUGAGUACUGGAGAGGCAGGCGGAAUUCGUGGUGUAGCGGUGAAAUGCGUAGAUAUUAGGAAGAACACCGGUGGCGAAGGCAGCCUGCUGGACAGAAACUGACGUUGAGGCUCGAAAGCGUGGGGAGCAAACAGGAUUAGAUACCCCAGUAGUC